This 774-nucleotide ribosomal RNA is filed under the name uncultured Neocallimastigales. Its description in RNAcentral is "partial large subunit ribosomal RNA". It matches the Rfam family "Eukaryotic large subunit ribosomal RNA", at positions 24 to 620 of the family's 3401-position model. Lineage: Eukaryota; Fungi; Neocallimastigomycota; Neocallimastigomycetes; Neocallimastigales. The record is from RNAcentral.
GUAGUCUCGCACAGAUGCAUAUCAAUAAGCGGAGGAAAAGAAACUAACAAGGAUUCCCUUAGUAACGGCGAGUGAAGCGGGAAGAGCUCAAAUUUGAAAUCUUCAAGGUUUUACCUUGACGAAUUGUAGUUUAAAGAAGUGUUUUCUGUUGAAGUUUUGGUAAAAGUUCUUUGGAAUAGGACAUCAUAGAGGGUGAGAAUCCCGUAUUUGACCAUUAUUUUCAGCUGUGUGAUACACUUUCAAAGAGUCGGGUUGUUUGGGAAUGCAGCCCAAAACGGGAGGUAAAUUUCUUCUAAGGCUAAAUAUUGGCGAGAGACCGAUAGCGAACAAGUACCGUGAGGGAAAGAUGAAAAGAACUUUGAAAAGAGAGUUAAACAGUACGUGAAAUUGUCAAAAGGGAAGCGUUUGACACCAGUGUUGUUUUCUCGAAAAUCAAUUAAAAAGAGUUAGAUUUUGUUGUGUAUUGACCUUAACAGCUUGCAUUUCAAUUUUCUUGCUUUUUUUAAUGCACUUUUCGUUUAACAAGUCAACAUCAGUUUCUUUUGUUGUAAAAAGGUCAUUGGAAGGUGGCUUUCUUUUCGGAGAAAGUGUUUAUAGCCUUUGACUCCUGCAAUCGGAGAGACUGAGGUCUGCAGCGUAGAUCCUUCGGGGUUAGAUACAUUUGUGCUAAGUUAUAGCUUUUUAUAGACAACUUGUUGACUAUGAUUAGUCUUGUAGCUUACUCGCUUAUGCUAUUUUACCUACGCUUAGGAUGUUGAAGAUGUAGCACAUCAU